This 500-nucleotide long non-coding RNA is filed under the name Equus caballus (horse). RNAcentral's name for it is "lncRNA (ENSECAG00000046421.1)". Lineage: Eukaryota; Metazoa; Chordata; Mammalia; Perissodactyla; Equidae. The record is from RNAcentral.
CUCUAAACUGCUUCCUAUAUAGCUUUUUAUUUGUUUAUUUAAGCUUUAUUUAUUUAAGUUUUUAUUGAAGUAUCACUUCAAACAUCACAGAGAAAACAGAAGCCAGCAUCCCUGGCCUAAAGAGAACAGCCAUGACUGCUUUUCAAAGAUAUGCUGCUUUCCCCAAAGAGAGGGCAAAUGCAGACCUAUCCAAUGAAAGCACCCUCAGCAAUGCCCUUCUUCACAAGGAUGAUCACUCGGACCAGCCCAAACAGUAUGGCGAGCAUGGUACAACCUCAUCAUUACCCUGGAAUCAUUACAGCCCUGAUGAUGAGACGAUCAUGGGCACCAUGUUGACAAGAGGAUUUGAUCUGCAGUCGAUCCUGACUUGAGCACUCACUAGCUGUGUAUUCCAAGACCAGUCACUUAAUCUUUCUGGGCCUCAGAUUCCUCAUGUGUAAGAUGAGCGGGAUGAUGCUUACACCACAUUAGGAAAAUCAAGUGAUAAAGUCUGUUGUUGU